This 1198-nucleotide long non-coding RNA is filed under the name Salvia miltiorrhiza (redroot sage). RNAcentral's name for it is "long non-coding RNA (SMIL_LNC000037)". The record is from RNAcentral. Lineage: Eukaryota; Viridiplantae; Streptophyta; Magnoliopsida; Lamiales; Lamiaceae.
UUCUAGUAAUAUUAGCAGGGAUACACAUCUUUCAAUGUUGGAGGGUUAUGCUUAACAUUCUGCAAACAGUCACUCUUAUGAGAACGAAGAAAUGCAAGAAGUGAGAGCAUGUUGAGUGCUCUGCAAUUUGAUGGUGUUUCUUUAAAUUGUUGUUUAUGGAUCUAACUAUCACUUAUUUUUCUUUGCAGUUACAUGAUGGGAGUCAAGCAUCUAAAGCCGAGGGUGAGCGAUAUCUCAUAUUUACUCCAACCACAUACAUAUAAUUUGUUAUUUCCUUCUUUUUAAUUAGUCGUUAGAUGAGUUUUUCAAUUUUUUGUAGGAUUUAUAUGAGUUGUUGAAUUGACAUUUUUUCAUUGAAUGGGAAAAUUCUGGCCUUAUUUUUCUUUUGCUUUGGCUUAUAUUUUGUUUCAUUUACUUUAUUCGUGCCAUGUUAUUCAUCUUUGUGUUCUUAAGAUUGAUGUGAUUACAUUUUCAGGUUCAAACUCAUUAAAUAAAGAAAGUUGUUCCAAGGUUGAAUUAUGUUUGAUCCAUCAUAUGAUUAUCCAAAGAUCAGGAUAAGGGAAGCUUCUUCAACGAGUUACCAGAGGGUAAAACAUGUCCAGAAGCACAACAGGCAGCAGUCUCUCUUGCUCGGACGUUGGACCAAUAGUUCUGCAUCAUUUAUUUCUGAUCGUGGAAGAGGUACUUCAACUUAUGCUGGUGGUGGAUUAUCUCUUAGUUCAUCUGUUACUUUGUUGUCUUCAGAUAAGUAACACUUAAUCCACAUGCUAAUGUGAACUACAUGAUAAGAAAAUUUGAUGCAUGACAUUCAUAAUUUAGUGUCAUCCUGUGGUGCAUCAGACUUACAUGCUUAAUUUGUCUUUUCCUAUCUCUCUUACUCGUUUUCAUAUUCUUUCAGGAAUUCAAAUUGAAUGCAAAUGCUAAGAGCUUCAUCCCAUUUCAGACGUUUAGGCCAUCUCCUAUUGUUGCAGAUAAUUUCAUUAAGCUCUUUGGUUGGGUGGUUUCCACUAAAUGUUAGAAAUAUCAAGGAAAUUUAUGUUUUAACUAUAACUUGUAAUUACUCGAUUUCUGAUUUCCCAUUAGAUAUACGUGCAUGUGAGGCAAUAGAGUAGGAUUCAUUUAUUACUUUUUUAUUUCUUACUUGUAUAGAGCACUUCGACUUUUAAUUUAAAUCUUAUAUCAUUUCAUAUUAUAAAAA